Molecule: ribosomal RNA, 509 nt
Filed under: uncultured bacterium
Lineage: Bacteria
Description: partial 16S ribosomal RNA
Rfam family: Bacterial small subunit ribosomal RNA
Source: RNAcentral
GACGAACGCUGGCGGCGUGCCUAACACAUGCAAGUGGAGCGACGAACCAGGGCUUGCCCUGGGGCAAAGCCGCGAACGGGUGAGUAACACGUGGGUAACCUGCCCCGAUGACCGGGACAACCCGAGGAAACUCGGGCUAAUACCGGAUGUGCUCCUCACACAUCAGUGUGUGGAGGAAAGGAAGCUUCGGCCUCCGCUUCGGGAGGGGCCCGCGGCCCAUUAGCUAGUUGGUGAGGUAACGGCUCACCAAGGCAACGAUGGGUAGCUGGUCUGAGAGGACGAUCAGCCACACUGGGACUGAGACACGGCCCAGACUCCUACGGGAGGCAGCAGUGGGGAAUCUUGCGCAAUGCGCGAAAGCGUGACGCAGCAACGCCGCGUGGGGGAAGAAGGCCUUCGGGUUGUAAACCCCUUUCAGGAGGGACGAAGGUUCGGCGGCGAAUAGCCGUCCGGACUGACGGUACCUCCAGAAGAAGCCCCGGCUAACUACGUGCCAGCCGCCGCCGUAA